GACCCCAUUGGGAUGGAGGUGGGACCCCCAGCUGGGAUGGAGGUGAGACCCCAUUGGGAUGGAGGUGGGACCCCCCCAUUGGGAUGGAGGUGAGACCCCAUUGGGAUGGAGGUGGGACCCCAGUUGGGAUGGAGAUGGGGCCCCCCGGGUGGGACCCCUUCAUUGGGGUGGAGAUGGGACCCCCAUUGGGAUGGGGGUGGGACCCCAUUGAGAUGGAGAUGGGACCCCCAGUUGGGAUGGAGAUGGAGCCCCCUGGUGGGACCCUCCAUUGGGAUGGAGGUGGGACCCCCAGUUGGGAUGAAAGUGGAACCCCUAUGGGAUGGAGGUGGGACCCCAUUGGGAUGGAGGUGGGACCCCCAGUUGGGAUGGAGGUGGGACCCCUGUUAGGGUGAAAGUGGGGUCCCCCAUUGGGAUGGAGGUGGGACCCUCCAUUGAGAUGGAGGUGAGACCCCAUUGGGAUAGAGGUGGGACCCCCAGUUGGGAUGAAAGUUGGACCACCCCAUUGGGGUGGAGGUGGGACCCCCAGUUGGGAUGAAAGUGGGACCCCCAGUUGGGAUGGAGAUGGGCCCCCCCGGGUGGGACCCCUUCAUUGGGGUGGAGAUGGGACCCCAUUGGGAUGGAGGUGGGACCCCAUUGGGAUGAAAGUGGGACCCCCAUUGGGAUGGAGAUGGGGCCCCCCAGGUGGGACCCUUUCAUUGGGGUGGAGAUGGGACCCCAUUGGGAUGGGGGUGGGACCCCCAGUUGGGAUGAAAGUGGGACCCCCAUUGGGAUGGAGGUGGGACCCCCAGCUGGGAUGGAGGUGAGACCCCAUUGGGAUGGAGGUGGGACCCCGUUGGGAUGCAGGUGGGACCCCCAGUUGGGAUGGGGAGUGGGACCCCCCAUUGGGGUGGAGUUGGGACCCCGUUGGGAUGGAGGUGGGACCCCCAGUUGGGAUGGAGAUGGGGCCCCCUGGGUGGGACCCCUUCAUUGGGGUAGAGGUGGGACCCCAUUGGGAUGGGGACUGGGACCCCCCCGGUGGGACCCCUCCUUUGGGGUGGAGAUGGGACCCCCGCCCACCUCCACCAGUUUGUAGAGGAAGGAGAAGACCAUGGAGGCGUUGGCGUUCUUCUUGGUGACAGCCACCACUGCGUGCGGGGUCAAGGA
Molecule: long non-coding RNA, 1143 nt
Filed under: Numida meleagris (helmeted guineafowl)
Lineage: Eukaryota; Metazoa; Chordata; Aves; Galliformes; Numididae
Description: lncRNA (ENSNMEG00000000443.1)
Source: RNAcentral